GAUGAACGCUGGCGGCGUGCCUAAUACAUGCAAGUCGAGCGAACAGACGAGGAGCUUGCUCCUCUGACGUUAGCGGCAGACGGGUGAGUAACACGUGGAUAACCUACCUAUAAGACUGGGAUAACUUCGGGAAACCGGAGCUAAUACCGGAUAAUAUAUUGAACCGCAUGGUUCAAUAGUGAAAGACGGUUUUGCUGUCACUUAUAGAUGGAUCCGCGCCGCAUUAGCUAGUUGGUAAGGUAACGGCUUACCAAGGCGACGAUGCGUAGCCGACCUGAGAGGGUGAUCGGCCACACUGGAACUGAGGCACGGUCCAGACUCCUACGGGAGGCAGCAGUAGGGAAUCUUCCGCAAUGGGCGAAAGCCUGACGGAGCAACGCCGCGUGAGUGAUGAAGGUCUUCGGAUCGUAAAACUCUGUUAUUAGGGAAGAACAAAUGUGUAAGUAACUAUGCACGUCUUGACGGUACCUAAUCAGAAAGCCACGGCUAACUACGUG
RNAcentral lists this ribosomal RNA (497 nucleotides) under uncultured bacterium. RNAcentral's name for it is "partial 16S ribosomal RNA". It matches the Rfam family "Bacterial small subunit ribosomal RNA", at positions 28 to 507 of the family's 1533-position model. The record is from RNAcentral.